Molecule: small nuclear RNA, 107 nt
Filed under: Chinchilla lanigera (long-tailed chinchilla)
Lineage: Eukaryota; Metazoa; Chordata; Mammalia; Rodentia; Chinchillidae
Source: RNAcentral
GUGCUCACCUUGACAGCACAUAUGCUAAAACUGAAAUUAUAGAGAGAAGAUUAGUAUGGCUUCUGUGCAAAGAUGACAUAUAAAAUUAAAAUUCACACGGAACUGUG